AUUUGUCUGGUUAAUUCCGAUAACGAACGAGACCUUAACCUGCUAACUAGACUCUUCUAUACUAUAGAUGAUAUCUUCUUAGAGGGACUAUGUAAUACAAAUACAUGGAAGUUUGAGGCAAUAACAGGUCAGUGAUGCCCUUAUAUGUCCUGGGCUGCACGCGUGCUACACUGAUGCAUACAACAAGUGCCUAACCAGACAUGGUAUGGCAAUCUCGAAUAUGCAUCGUGAUGGGGAUAGAUCUUUGCAAUUAUAGAUCUUGAACGAGGAAUUCCUAGCAAGUGCAAGUCAUCAUCUUGCAUUGAUUAUGUCCCUGCCCUUUGUACACACCGCCCGUCGCUCCUACCGAUACCGGGUGAUCCGGUGAACCUUUUGGACUCAUUUGGGAAAGAUAAGUAAACCAUAUCACCUAGAGGAAGGAGAAGUCGUAACAAGGUUUCCGUAGGUGAACCUGCRGAAGGAUCA
RNAcentral lists this ribosomal RNA (465 nucleotides) under uncultured ciliate. RNAcentral describes it as "SSU rRNA". It matches the Rfam family "Eukaryotic small subunit ribosomal RNA". Lineage: Eukaryota; Ciliophora. The record is from RNAcentral.